This 239-nucleotide unclassified non-coding RNA is filed under the name Hevea brasiliensis (rubber tree). The record is from RNAcentral. Lineage: Eukaryota; Viridiplantae; Streptophyta; Magnoliopsida; Malpighiales; Euphorbiaceae.
ACCGAGGGAUUUUGUAUUUGCAAGAUCCAUUCCAUCAGCUUCACUUGCCCCGAGAAUGUUUCUUCCUUUCUCAACCAAAUGAAAAUAUUCUCAACAAAAUGUUUGUCCGAGUCAUUUAAUCCAGGUAAUACGUCACCCUGUGUUGAGCAAGAUGGUGCUUCGUCAGCAUUGGAAGGACCAGCAGGGUAUAUGGGACUCAGAUCAGGACCAACAGAGUUUAAAGGAACAGGAUCAGGAUG